GACGAACGCUGGCGGCGUGCUUAACACAUGCAAGUCGAACGGAAAGGCCCCUUUGGGGGUACUCGAGUGGCGAACGGGUGAGUAACACGUGAGUAACCUGCCCUUGACUUCGGGAUAACCUCAGGAAACUGGGGCUAAUACCGGAUAGGAAUCCUUGCUGCAUGGUGGGGGUUGGAAAGCUUCGGCGGUUUUGGAUGGACUCGCGGCUUAUCAGCUUGUUGGUGGGGUAGUGGCUUACCAAGGCUUUGACGGGUAGCCGGCCUGAGAGGGCGACCGGCCACAUUGGGACUGAGAUACGGCCCAGACUCCUACGGGAGGCAGCAGUGGGGAAUAUUGCACAAUGGGCGGAAGCCUGAUGCAGCAACGCCGCGUGCGGGAUGACGGCCUUCGGGUUGUAAACCGCUUUCAGCAGGGGCGAAGCUUGUGGUGACGGUACCUGCAGAAAAAGCACCGGCUAACUACGUG
This 465-nucleotide ribosomal RNA is filed under the name uncultured bacterium. Its description in RNAcentral is "partial 16S ribosomal RNA". It matches the Rfam family "Bacterial small subunit ribosomal RNA", at positions 28 to 507 of the family's 1533-position model. The record is from RNAcentral.